CUCGCGUGUCUAUUACCAGAAGCGACGGCAGGAUGAAGGUCAGACUAAAGGUCUUGCCAGACGAGCCGAGAGGUAGUGCAUGGCGAUCGUCAGCUCGUGGUAGUGAACUGUCCGGUUAAGUCCGGUAACGAGCGAGACCACUGCUAACAGUUGCAACUGUGUCAGAGAUGACAUGGGCACUCUGUUGGGACCGCCUCUGUUUAAAGAGGAGGAAGGAAGUGGCAACGGUACGUCAGUAUGCCUCUGAAUCCGUCCCGGGCUACACGCGGCAUAACAAAGGUCGGUACAAGUGGGAUGCAACUCCGAAAGGAGAAGCAAACUCCCCCGAAAACCGUCCUAAGUUCGAUCGAGGGUUGAAACUCACCCUGAUGAAGCUGGAAUCCCUAGUAAUCGCGUGUCAU
RNAcentral lists this ribosomal RNA (401 nucleotides) under uncultured prokaryote. RNAcentral describes it as "bacterial SSU rRNA". It matches the Rfam family "Archaeal small subunit ribosomal RNA", at positions 914 to 1308 of the family's 1478-position model. The record is from RNAcentral.